Allofrancisella guangzhouensis is the source of this 76-nucleotide non-coding RNA. The record is from Rfam. Lineage: Bacteria; Pseudomonadati; Pseudomonadota; Gammaproteobacteria; Thiotrichales; Francisellaceae.
AAGAGCGGUAUGAAUCGAGAGGUUCACGUACCGUUCUGUGAGAGGCUAGAGGGGAGGUUCCUCUGGUCUACUCGAC